Molecule: ribosomal RNA, 282 nt
Filed under: Escherichia coli
Lineage: Bacteria; Pseudomonadati; Pseudomonadota; Gammaproteobacteria; Enterobacterales; Enterobacteriaceae
Description: partial 16S ribosomal RNA
Rfam family: Bacterial small subunit ribosomal RNA
Source: RNAcentral
AGUCGAACGGUAACAGGAAACAGCUUGCUGUUUCGCUGACGAGUGGCGGACGGGUGAGUAAUGUCUGGGAAACUGCCCGAUGGAGGGGGAUAACUACUGGAAACGGUAGCUAAUACCGCAUAACGUCGCAAGACCAAAGAGGGGGACCUUCGGGCCUCUUGCCAUCGGAUGUGCCCAGAUGGGAUUAGCUAGUAGGUGGGGUAACGGCUCACCUAGGCGACGAUCCCUAGCUGGUCUGAGAGGAUGACCAGCCACACUGGAACUGAGACACGGUCCAGACUC